This 101-nucleotide small RNA is filed under the name Erwinia sp. OLMDLW33. RNAcentral describes it as "partial RtT sRNA". It matches the Rfam family "RtT RNA", at positions 1 to 104 of the family's 130-position model. Rfam says of the family: This family represents a bacterial cis-regulatory element known as RtT RNA. The exact function of RtT is unknown although it is thought that it may be involved in changing the cellular response in relation to amino acid starvation. The record is from RNAcentral. Lineage: Bacteria; Pseudomonadati; Pseudomonadota; Gammaproteobacteria; Enterobacterales; Erwiniaceae.
UUCGUCUGUAGCCAAUGAGGAUGAGAACCUCCGAAGGAGGUUUGAGCCGAGCGCAGCGAGACAGCGUUGCUUUAGCAACGGCCCGCAGGGCGGCUCGCACU